CGCAGCCGCGGUAAUUCCAGCUCCAAUAGCGUAUAUUAAAGUUGUUGCAGUUAAAAAGCUCGUAGUUGAAUUUCGGGGUUAGUAGAUUGGUCAUGCCUCCGGUAUGCACUGGUCUUACUGAUUCCUCCUUCCUGAUGAACCGUAAUGCCAUUAAUUUGGUGUUGCGGGGAAACUGGACUGUUACUUUAGAAAAAAUUAGAGUGUUUAAAGCAGGCUAACGCUUGAAUACAUUAGCAUGGAAUAAUGAAAUAGGACGUUCGAUCUUAUUUUGUUGGUUUCUAGGAUUGACGUAAUGAUUAAUAGGGAUAGUUGGGGGCAUUAGUAUUCAAUUGUCAGAGGUGAAAUUCUUGGAUUUAUUGAAGACUAACUACUGCGAAAGCAUUUGCCAAGGAUGUUUUCAUUAAUCAAGAACGAAAGUUAGGGGAUCGAAGACGAUCGGAUACCGUCGUAGUCUUAACCAUAAACUAUGCCGACUAGGGAUCGGAUGAUGUUAAUUUUUUAAUGACUCAUUCGGCGCCUU
RNAcentral lists this ribosomal RNA (520 nucleotides) under uncultured Glomeromycotina. RNAcentral describes it as "SSU rRNA". It matches the Rfam family "Eukaryotic small subunit ribosomal RNA", at positions 569 to 1089 of the family's 1831-position model. Lineage: Eukaryota; Fungi; Glomeromycota. The record is from RNAcentral.